GGAAGGAUCAUUACCGAAUGACCCGUGCCUCCUUGCAGCAUAGUGGGGGACCAUAGUCUGCCCAGGCUGUAGCCGGCCGGUCGGUGCCCUUUGGUCUACGCGAUGCUUGUGUUUUCUAUUUUACCAAACAAACCAGUCUGUCCCAUGUUGGUGGCAUCCUUUUGUUGGGUUUGCCCUUAACUAUAUAAAUAUAACUUUCAACAACGGAUCUCUUGGCUCUCGCAUCGAUGAAGAACGCAGCGAAAUGCGAUAAGUAAUGUGAAUUGCAGAAUUCAGUGAAUCAUCGAAUCUUUGAACGCACCUUGCGCUCCUUGGCAUUCCGAGAAGCAUGCCUGUUUGAGUGUCGUUGAAUUCUCACACCCUACCUGAUCUUUCUUGAAAGAUCGGGGAGGAGGGUAGUUGACAAGAAUUUUCCCAGGUCUCUUCCAGGGGCCAUGGGCCUUGUCCUAUCACGGACCGUCACGCGGGGUGUGGAUUGGUGGAGGUUUGCAGGUGGAUCGAGGUUGAUCCCUCGAAGCCCUCUGCUCCUCUGAAAUGCAUUGGCGCACGCGCACCCCAACCAAGCCUGACAACCCGACCUUUCUUGAAAGGUCGGGAAUGAGGGUAGUUAGACAAGAAGAAUUUGCCCAGGUCUGAAAGGGCCAUGGGCCUUGUCUGCUAUUGCGGACCGUCAGGAGAGGAAUAUGGGAUUGGUGUUGCAUUGCAGCUGUGGUCGCGAACCCGUCGUUUGGUAUGAUACAUACGUCUUACCUGCUUGCGACGGGCGUCGUGCACCCCAACGAUUUGACCUCAAAUCAGGCAGGACUACCCGCUGAACUUAAGCAUAUCAAUAAGCGGAGGAAAAGAAACUAACAAGGAUUCCCCUAGUAACUGCGAGUGAAGCGGGAAGAGCUCAAAUUUAAAAUCUGGCGGCCCCUGCGGUCGUCCGAGUUGUAAGCUAGAGAAGCGCCGUCCGCGCUGGGGCCAUGUACAAGUCUCCUGGAACGGAGCGUCAUAGAGGGUGAGAAUCCCGUCUCUGACAUGGACCUCCCAGUGCACCGCGAUGGCGCGCUCAAAGAGUCGAGUUGUUUGGGAAUGCAGCUCCAAAUGGGUGGUAAAACUCCAUCUAAAGCUAAACAUUGGCGAGAGACCGAUAGCGAACAAGUACCGUGAGGGAAAGAUGAAAAGAACUUUGGAAAGAGAGUUAAACAGUACGUGAAAUUGUUGAAAGGGAAACGCUUGAAGUCAGUCGCGUCGGCCUGGGAUCAGCCCCGCUCUUGCGAGGUGCACUCCCCGGUCGACGGGUCAGCACCAGUUUCGACCGUUGGAGAAAGGUCGGGGGAAUGUGGCAUCCUCGGAUGUGUUUAUAGCCCUCGAUCGCAUGCAUCGGUUGGGAUUGAGGAACUCAGCGCGCCGCAAGGCCGGGUUUUCGAACCACGUCCGCGCUCAGGAUGCUGGCACAAUGGCUUUAAUCGACCCGUCUUGAAACACGGACCAAGGAGUCUAACAUGCCUGCGAGUGUUUGGGUGGAAAACCCACGCGCGCAAUGAAAGUGAAAGUUGAGAUCCCCGUCGUGGGGAGCAUCGACGCCCGGACCAGACCUUCUGCGACGGAUCCGCGGUGGAGCAUGCAUGUUGGGACCCGAAAGAUGGUGAACUAUGCCUGAAUAGGGUGAAGCCAGAGGAAACUCUGGUGGAGGCUCGUAGCGAUUCUGACGUGCAAAUCGAUCGUCGAAUUUGGGUAUAGGGGCGAAAGACUAAUCGAACCAUCUAGUAGCUGGUUCCUGC
Molecule: unclassified non-coding RNA, 1766 nt
Filed under: uncultured fungus
Lineage: Eukaryota; Fungi
Description: sequence contains 18S rRNA gene, ITS1, 5.8S rRNA gene, ITS2, 28S rRNA gene
Rfam family: Eukaryotic large subunit ribosomal RNA (bases 785-1766)
Source: RNAcentral